RNAcentral lists this ribosomal RNA (492 nucleotides) under uncultured bacterium. RNAcentral describes it as "partial 16S ribosomal RNA". It matches the Rfam family "Bacterial small subunit ribosomal RNA", at positions 29 to 507 of the family's 1533-position model. The record is from RNAcentral.
AGUGAACGCUGGCGGUAGGCCUAACACAUGCAAGUCGAACGGCAGCACAGUAAGAGCUUGCUCUUACGGGUGGCGAGUGGCGGACGGGUGAGGAAUACAUCGGAAUCUACUUUUUCGUGGGGGAUAACGUAGGGAAACUUACGCUAAUACCGCAUACGACCUACGGGUGAAAGCAGGGGAUCUUCGGACCUUGCGCGAUUGAAUGAGCCGAUGUCGGAUUAGCUAGUUGGCGGGGUAAAGGCCCACCAAGGCGACGAUCCGUAGCUGGUCUGAGAGGAUGAUCAGCCACACUGGAACUGAGACACGGUCCAGACUCCUAAGGGAGGCAGCAGUGGGGAAUAUUGGACAAGGGGCGCAAGCCUGAUCCAGCCAUACCGCGUGGGUGAAGAAGGCCUUCGGGUUGUAAAGCACUUUUGUUGGGAAAGAAAAGCAGCAGGUUAAUACCCCGCUGUUCUGACGGUACCCAAAGAAUAAGCACCGGCUAACUUCGUG